AUGAUGGGAAUUUAAACCCCUUCCAGAGUAUCAAUUGGAGGGCAAGUCUGGUGCCAGCAGCCGCGGUAAUUCCAGCUCCAAUAGCGUAUAUUAAACUUGUUGCAGUUAAAAAGCUCGUAGUUGAAUUUCUGCUGCAUCGUGGUUCUUCGCUAUGUCGAGUGAUCUUCGUUGUGGCUUAGUUGGGGCAUGUUUUCAUGACUCGACGUUUACUUUGAGAAAAUUAGAGUGCUUCAAGCAGGCUUUUGCCUUGAAUACUUUAGCAUGGAAUAAUGGAGUAGGACUUUGGUUCUAUUUUGUUGGUUUUAGGAGCCGGAGUAAUGG
Molecule: ribosomal RNA, 321 nt
Filed under: Theileria equi
Lineage: Eukaryota; Apicomplexa; Aconoidasida; Piroplasmida; Theileriidae
Description: SSU rRNA
Rfam family: Eukaryotic small subunit ribosomal RNA
Source: RNAcentral